Molecule: long non-coding RNA, 299 nt
Filed under: Ananas comosus (pineapple)
Lineage: Eukaryota; Viridiplantae; Streptophyta; Magnoliopsida; Poales; Bromeliaceae
Description: long non-coding RNA (ACOM_LNC005340)
Source: RNAcentral
AAAUCUAGCCUCAUAAAAAUAUUUCUGACUUAUCCUCCAAUUUUCAUAAUUUUCUGAGACUGUGCAUUUUCUGCUAAUUUAUCUGUCCCGUUUCUCACAGAAAAUUCUAAAUCUUCUGUUUUCGCUCCGAUUUCAGCACAGAUCAUACCCAACCUAUAUUUCACUUCUCUAAAUCAAAUAAAAAUAGUAUCUCAUACAAUAUUUAUUUAUUUUUAUUUUUAUACUUAAAUCCGGUAUAUUACAUUACACCGCAACUUUACCGAAACCAUUCAAAUGGCUCUCCAAUCAAAUGGACACCG